AUGUGCCAAAUAGCAGUUCUGAAGGAUCACGGGGGCCGUAGCCGAAUCUACGCGUGCCUGUACAGGUCCCACAGCAGUGAUGCAGGUUCAGCUCUGUUUGAGCAUGUGCAAGAGGGGACUAACCGCGUGCUUGAGCAGUACCCAUCUGCGGAGGUGGUGGUUCUUGGAGACUUUAACGCUCACCACCAAGAGUGGUUGGGGUCCAGAACCACUGACCUCCCGGGUCGGACUGCCUACGAUUUCGCCUUGGCCUACGGCUUCUCCCAGCUGGUGACACAGCCCACCCGUGUCCCAGAUAUCGAGGGGCACGAGCCUUCUUUGUUGGACCUUCUGCUGACCACAGAUCCGGCCGGAUACAGUGUGGUGGUCGACGCUCCGCUUGGAUCGUCUGAUCACUGCCUUAUUCGUGCUGCCGUUCCACUCUCUCGUCCUGAUCGUCGAACGACGACCGGGUAUCGAAGAGUUUGGCGGUAUAUGUCAGCAGAUUGGGAUGGAUUGCGUGAAUUUUACGCAUCCUACCCAUGGGGGCGGUUCUGCUUUUCCUCUGCUGAUCCUGACGUCUGUGCGGACCGUCUUAAAGACGUGGUGCUCCAGGGGAUGGAAUUGUUUAUUCCCUCCUCUGAAGUGCCCGUUGGGGGUCGCAGCAGACCCUGGUAUAACAAUGCCAGCAGGGAUGCUGCACACCUCAAGCGGUCCGCAUACGUGGCAUGGGAUAAUGCCAGGAGACGUCAGGACCCUAACAUCUCAGAGGAAAGGCGGAAAUAUAACGCCGCUUCCAGGUCCUACAAGAAGGUUAUUGCCAAGGCGAAGUCGGAGCACGUUGCUAGAAUUGGCGAGCGACUGAAGAGCUAUCCCUCUGGGAGCCGUGCUUUUUGGUCGCUCGCCAAAGCUGCAGAAGGAAACUUUUGCAGGUCUAGUCUCCCACCACUACGCAAGUCCGAUGACAGUCUGGCCCAUAGUGCGAAAGAGAAGGCUGACCUUCUGGUCAAACUCUUCGCCUCGAACUCGACUGUGGACGACGGGGGUGCCACACCACCGAACAUCCUCCGGUGUGAUAGUUCCCUGCCCGAGAUCUGCUUUACACAGUGUGCAGUCAGGCGGGAACUCCGACUCCUGGACGUCCAUAAGUCGAGCGGGCCAGACGGCAUCCCUGCAGUGGUUCUGAAAACGUGCGCCCCUGAGCUGACGCCUGCGCUAACGCGUUUGUAUCGCCUCUCUUAUUGCACUAACAGGGUUCCGUCUUCAUGGAAGACUGCCCACGUCCACCCUAUCCCCAAGAAGGGUGACCGGUCGGACCCAUCGAGCUAUAGGCCUAUCGCGAUAACUUCCUUGCUUUCCAAGGUGAUGGAGCGAAUAAUUAAUAUACAACUCCUGAAGUAUCUGGAGGAUCGCCAGCUGAUCAGUGACCGACAGUACGGUUUCCGUCACGGUCGCUCAGCUGGCGAUCUUCUUGUAUACCUUACUCACAGGUGGGCUGAAGCCUUGGAAAGCAAGGGCGAGGCUCUUGCUGUGAGCCUUGAUAUCGCGAAGGCCUUCGACAGGGUCUGGCAUAGGGCACUUCUAUCGAAGUUACCAUCUUACGGAAUCCCCGAGGGUCUCUGCAAGUGGAUCGCUAGCUUUUUGGAUGGGCGGAGCAUCACGGUCGUUGUAGACGGUGACUGUUCUGAUACCAUGACCAUUAACGCUGGCGUUCCACAAGGUUCGGUGCUCUCCCCCACGCUUUUCAUCCUGUAUAUCAAUGACAUGCUGUCUAUUGAUGGCAUGCAUUGCUAUGCAGAUGACAGCACGGGGGAUGCGCGAUAUAUCGGCCAUCAGAGUCUCUCUCGGAGCGUGGUGCAAGAGAGACGAUCAAAACUUGUGUCUGAAGUGGAGAACUCUCUGGGGCGAGUCUCCGAAUGGGGUGAAUUGAACUUGGUUCAAUUCAACCCGAUAAAGACACAAGUUUGCGCGUUCACUGCGAAGAAGGACCCCUUUGUCAUGGCGCCGCAAUUCCAAGGAGUAUCCCUGCAACCUUCCGAGAGUAUCGGGAUACUUGGGGUCGACAUUUCGAGCGAUGUCCAGUUUCGGAGUCAUUUGGAAGGCAAAGCCAAGUUGGCGUCCAAAAUGCUGGGAGUCCUCAACAGAGCGAAGCGGUACUUCACGCCUGGACAAAGACUUUUGCUUUAUAAAGCACAAGUCCGGCCUCGCAUGGAGUACUGCUCCCAUCUCUGGGCUGGGGCUCCCAAAUACCAGCUUCUUCCAUUUGACUCCAUACAGAGGAGGGCCGUUCGGAUUGUCGAUAAUCCCAUUCUCUCGGAUCGUUUGGAGCCUCUGGGUCUGCGGAGGGACUUCGGUUCCCUCUGUAUUUUGUACCGUAUGUUCCAUGGGGAGUGCUCUGAGGAAUUGUUCGAGAUGAUACCAGCAUCUCGUUUUUACCAUCGCACCGCCCGCCACCGGAGUAGAGUUCAUCCAUACUACCUGGAGCCACUGCGGUCAUCCACAGUGCGUUUCCAGAGAUCUUUUUUGCCACGUACCAUCCGGCUAUGGAAUGAGCUCCCCUCCACGGUGUUUCCCGAGCGCUAUGACAUGUCCUUCUUCAAACGAGGCUUGUGGAGAGUAUUAAGCGGUAGGCAGCGGCUUGGCUCUGCCCCUGGCAUUGCUGAAGUCCAUGGGCGACGGUAACCACUCACCAUCAGGUGGGCCGUAUGCCCGUCUGCCUACAAAGGCAAUAAAAAAAAAAAAAAAAAAAAAAAAAAAAAAAAAUUUUUCAUCACGCAGAUAAAAUUGACGUAAAAGUCAUAAUAUUAAAUAGUGCACGAUCUAAAUCUUCUAUAUAACACUUCGCUUUUAAUUAAACAAUAUAACAUAAACAUCACUUCUCGGACAUUAUUGUAACUUGAUAGUGAAUAAAACAGAAUCCCUUUGCUCGGGAAACAUUCAAGCAAGAAAAAACAUUUUGAUUCUACAAUAAAAAAAAAAACACUUUCAAAAUAUUCAAAUCUCUCAAGGACACGAAUCUCAAUAAAAUCAAAUUAAAUCAAUAUGAUAAUGUUCAUUUGAAAAAUCAAUAAUAUAAAAAAAAACCUUUAAGUUAUCAAAUGUGUCUACUUGUUUACAUUUUACCUUUGAUUGUAAGUCCGUUUUUGUCUUGUGUUCCCUGUUGUGAUUGCUGCAUGAACUACAUUAUACCGGAAGAGAGCAAAGAAGUUCGAAUAACCUAUUGCAUUUUAUUGAUUGCAAUAGGUAGUGCUGUGCUUCGAUAAAGUCUUCAGUCAUCAAAUCAAGGCUACAAUAAAAACUGCAUUGAAAGACGUAAAUUUGUUCGAGAAAUAUUUAAAAAAAACAUUGCUUGAGAAUUCGCUUCUUAUAUUUUGGAGUGCAAAUGGAUUUUGAACAGAAUGUGUUGUAUUUUCCCGUGCUGCAUGGUUACCUGCCCGUUUCUGCUUAGCCCCAUUAUAGCUUGCUUCCCGAUAUUGUGCCCGUGUUUCAUAGCUUGCUGCACGACCGAAGAUAAAGAUGUGUCAAGUAAUUAAAUUGGUUUUUCGAAAAAUUAACAAUUGAGUUAUC
This is a long non-coding RNA of Bombyx mori (domestic silkworm), 3546 nucleotides long. RefSeq annotates it as probable RNA-directed DNA polymerase from transposon BS. NCBI's taxonomy places the organism in Eukaryota, Metazoa, Arthropoda, Insecta, Lepidoptera, Bombycidae. The transcript is spliced from 3 exons. The record is from RefSeq and is a predicted model, not a curated record.